GACGAACGCUGGCGGCGUGCUUAACACAUGCAAGUCGAGCGGUAAGGCCCUUUCGGGGGUACACGAGCGGCGAACGGGUGAGUAACACGUGGGUGACCUGCCCUCAGCUCUGGGAUAAGCCUGGGAAACUGGGUCUAAUACUGGAUAUGACUCCACGGUGCAUGUCGUGGGGUGGAAAGCCUUGUGCGGCUGAGGAUGGGCCCGCGGCCUAUCAGCUUGUUGGUGGGGUGANGGCCUACCAAGGCGACGACGGGUAGCCGGCCUGAGAGGGCGACCGGCCACACUGGGACUGAGACACGGCCCAGACUCCUACGGGAGGCAGCAGUGGGGAAUCUUGCGCAAUGGGCGAAAGCCUGACGCAGCGACGCCGCGUGAGGGAUGACGGCCUCGGUGUAA
This 396-nucleotide ribosomal RNA is filed under the name uncultured bacterium. RNAcentral describes it as "bacterial SSU rRNA". It matches the Rfam family "Bacterial small subunit ribosomal RNA", at positions 28 to 428 of the family's 1533-position model. The record is from RNAcentral.